RNAcentral lists this ribosomal RNA (253 nucleotides) under uncultured bacterium. Its description in RNAcentral is "partial 16S ribosomal RNA". It matches the Rfam family "Bacterial small subunit ribosomal RNA", at positions 524 to 776 of the family's 1533-position model. The record is from RNAcentral.
UACGUAGGGGGCAAGCGUUAUCCGGAUUUACUGGGUGUAAAGGGAGCGUAGACGGCGAUGCAAGUCUGAAGUGAAAGGCGGGGGCCCAACCCCCGGACUGCUUUGGAAACUGUAUGGCUGGAGUGCAGGAGAGGUGAGUGGAAUUCCUAGUGUAGCGGUGAAAUGCGUAGAUAUUAGGAGGAACACCAGUGGCGAAGGCGGCCUGCUGGACGAUGACUGACGUUGAGGCUCGAAAGCGUGGGGAGCAAACAGG